This 253-nucleotide ribosomal RNA is filed under the name uncultured bacterium. RNAcentral's name for it is "partial 16S ribosomal RNA". It matches the Rfam family "Bacterial small subunit ribosomal RNA", at positions 524 to 776 of the family's 1533-position model. The record is from RNAcentral.
UACGUAGGGUGCGAGCGUUAAUCGGAAUUACUGGGCGUAAAGCGUGCGCAGGCGGUUUUGUAAGCCAGAUGUGAAAGCCCCGGGCUUAACCUGGGAAUGGCAUUUGGGACUGCAAGGCUUGAGUGCGGCAGAGGAGACUGGAAUUCCUGGUGUAGCAGUGAAAUGCGUAGAUAUCGAGAGGAACACCUGCGGCGAAGGCGGGUUGCUGGGCUGAUACUGACGCUGAUGCGCGAAAGCCAGGGGAGCGAACGGG